Molecule: long non-coding RNA, 370 nt
Filed under: Mytilus galloprovincialis (Mediterranean mussel)
Lineage: Eukaryota; Metazoa; Mollusca; Bivalvia; Mytilida; Mytilidae
Source: RNAcentral
GCCCACUAGACAUGUACACCUUACAAUCAUUCUAUACAACAAAUAUAGUAGACCUAUUGCAUAUAGUAUGAGAAAAACAGACCAAAACACAAAAAUUUAACUAUAACCACUGAACCAUGAAAAAGAGGUCAAGGUCAGAUGACACCUGUCAGUUGGACAUGUACACCUUACAGUCCUUCCAUACACCGAAUAUACUAGCCCUAUUGCUUAUAGUAUCUGAGAUAUGGACUUGACCACCAAAACUUAACCUUGUUCACUGAUCCAUAAAAUGAGGUCGAGGUCAAGUGAAAACUGUCUGACAGACAUGAGGACCUUGCAAAGUACGCACAUAUCAAAUAUAGUUAUCCUAUUACUUAUAAUAAGAGAGAAU